GAUGAACGCUGGCGGCGUGCCUAAUACAUGCAAGUCGAGCGAACGGACGAGAAGCUUGCUUCUCUGAUGUUAGCGGCGGACGGGUGAGUAACACGUGGAUAACCUACCUAUAAGACUGGGAUAACUUCGGGAAACCGGAGCUAAUGCCGGAUAAUAUUUUGAACCGCAUGGUUCAAAAGUAAAAGACGGUCUUGCUGUCACUUAUAGAUGGAUCCGCGCUGCAUUAGCUAGUUGGUAAGGUAACGGCUUACCAAGGCAACGAUGCAUAGCCGACCUGAGAGGGUGAUCGGCCACACUGGAACUGAGACACGGUCCAGACUCCUACGGGAGGCAGCAGUAGGGAAUCUUCCGCAAUGGGCGAAAGCCUGACGGAGCAACGCCGCGUGAGUGAUGAAGGUCUUCGGAUCGUAAAACUCUGUUAUUAGGGAAGAACAUAUGUGUAAGUAACUGUGCACAUCUUGACGGAACCUAAUCAGAAAGCCACGGCUAACUACGUG
RNAcentral lists this ribosomal RNA (497 nucleotides) under uncultured bacterium. Its description in RNAcentral is "partial 16S ribosomal RNA". It matches the Rfam family "Bacterial small subunit ribosomal RNA", at positions 28 to 507 of the family's 1533-position model. The record is from RNAcentral.